This 404-nucleotide ribosomal RNA is filed under the name Acidobacteriota bacterium. Its description in RNAcentral is "Acidobacteria bacterium partial 16S ribosomal RNA". It matches the Rfam family "Bacterial small subunit ribosomal RNA", at positions 355 to 776 of the family's 1533-position model. The record is from RNAcentral. Lineage: Bacteria; Pseudomonadati; Acidobacteriota.
UGGGGAAUAUUGGACAAUGGGCGCAAGCCUGAUCCAGCCAUGCCGCGUGAGUGAUGAAGGCCUUAGGGUUGUAAAGCUCUUUCAGUAGGGAAGAUAAUGACGGUACCUACAGAAGAAGCCCCGGCUAACUUCGUGCCAGCAGCCGCGGUAAUACGAAGGGGGCUAGCGUUGUUCGGAUUUACUGGGCGUAAAGCGCACGUAGGCGGGUCGUUAAGUCAGGGGUGAAAUCCUGGAGCUCAACUCCAGAACUGCCUUUGAUACUGGCGACCUAGAGUCCGGAAGAGGUGAGUGGAACUCCUAGUGUAGAGGUGGAAUUCGUAGAUAUUAGGAAGAACACCAGUGGCGAAGGCGGCUCACUGGUCCGGUACUGACGCUGAGGUGCGAAAGCGUGGGGAGCAAACAGG